This 253-nucleotide unclassified non-coding RNA is filed under the name uncultured Alphaproteobacteria bacterium. RNAcentral's name for it is "contains 16S-23S intergenic spacer region". It matches the Rfam family "Bacterial small subunit ribosomal RNA", at positions 524 to 776 of the family's 1533-position model. Lineage: Bacteria; Pseudomonadati; Pseudomonadota; Alphaproteobacteria. The record is from RNAcentral.
UACGGAGGGGGCUAGCGUUGUUCGGAGUCACUGGGCGUAAAGCGCACGUAGGCGGUUUUGCAAGUUGGGCGUGAAAGCCCGGGGCUCAACCCCGGAGGUGCGCCCAAGACUGCGGAACUGGAGACCGGGAGAGGGUGGUGGAAUUCCCAGUGUAGAGGUGAAAUUCGUAGAUAUUGGGAAGAACACCGGUGGCGAAGGCGACCACCUGGCCCGGAACUGACGCUGAGGUGCGAAAGCGUGGGGAGCAAACAGG